This 222-nucleotide unclassified non-coding RNA is filed under the name Glomeraceae sp. RNAcentral's name for it is "partial contains 5.8S ribosomal RNA and internal transcribed spacer 2". The stretch from base 1 to 71 matches the Rfam family "5.8S ribosomal RNA", at positions 84 to 154 of the family's 154-position model. Lineage: Eukaryota; Fungi; Glomeromycota; Glomeromycetes; Glomerales; Glomeraceae. The record is from RNAcentral.
GUGAAUCAUCAAAUUUUUGAACGCAAAUUGCACUCUCUGGUAUUCCGGAGAGUAUGCCUGUUUGAGGGUCAGUUUAAAUAAAAAUCGGUGUGUUUGCUCCCUUUCUUGUUAACGCACCGAAUUGGGGUCGUCUUGCCUUCGGUUAAGGUACCUAAAUUUUUGCAUGAUUUUUUUCUAACGUGUUUAAAUGUUUUUACUAACUUUUGCGAUAUCGAAUCCAAG